UCACACCAUUCUCCUGCCUCAGCCUCCUGAGUAGCUGGGACUACAGGCGCCCACCACCACACCUGAUAUUUGAUGUGAUUCACCAGUACAGCCAUAUGAAGAUGAUAUUUUGAUUUUAGGAAUGUUUCAUUACAAAUGCAAUUCCUUCAACAGAGUUCAAAAUAUCUCAUAAAGCAGUGGAGACAACUUGCAACAUCAAUAAUGCAUUUUGGCCCAGGAGUGGCUAACAUAUGUACAGAGCAGCGGUGGUUCAAGAAGUUUUGCAAAGGAGACGACAGCCUUGAAGAUAAGAAGCCUAGUGGGCAGCCAUCGGAAGUUGACAAUGACCAAGUGAGAGCAAUCAUCAAAGCUGAUCCUCUUACAACAACACAAGACGUUGCCAAAGAACCCAAUGACGACCAUUCUACUGUCAUUGGGCAUUUGAAGCAAAUUGGAAAGGUGAAAAAGCUGGAUAAGUGGGUGCCUCAUGAGCUGACUGAAAGAAAAUUCAAAAAAAAAAUUGUCGUUUUGAAGUGUCAUCUUCUCGUAUUCUAUGCAACAACAAUGAACCAUUUCUCAAUCGGAUUGUGAUGCGCGAUGAAAAGUGGAUUUUAUAGGACAACUGGCGAUGACCAGCUCAGUGGUUGGACCGAGCUCCAAAGCACUUCCCAAAGCCAAACUUCCACCAAAAAAAAGGUCAUGGUCACUGUUUGGUGGUUUGCUGCUGGUCUGAUCCACUACAGCUUUCUGAAUCCUGGCGAAACCAUUACCUCUGAGAAGUAUGCUCAGCAAAUCGAUGAGAUGCACUGAAAACUGCAACGCUGCAGCUGGCAUUGGGCAACAGAAAGGGCCCAAUUCUUCUCUACAACAAUGCCCAACCACACGUCGCACAACCAACGCUUCAAAAGUUGAAUGAAUUGGGCUCUGAAGUUUUGCCUCAUCUGCCAUAUUCGCCUAACCUCUCGCCAACCGACUACCAUUUCUUCAAGCAUCUCGACAACUUUUUGCAGGGAAAAUGCUUCCACAACCAGCAGGAUGCAGAAAAUGCUUUCCAACAGUUCAUCAAAUCCAGAAGCACAGAUUUUUACACUACAGGAAUAAACAAACUUAUUUCUUGUUGGCAAAAAUGUGUUCAUUGUAAUGGAUUCUAUUUUGAUUAAUAAAGAUGUGUUUAGUUAUAAAAUGAUUUAAAAUUCAUACUUUUGCACCAACCUCUAAAUUAAAGACUUGCUUAAAGAUUCUGUUGCCUGUUGUCACAUAGAACAGAGACUAAUCUCACUGGGUUGGAUUAUGUGUGGAAAUACACCAAAACUCACCACUGUCUGGGUCAUUCUGAAGUGAAGAAAAGAACAUGAUAAUUUCACAAAACAGUGAGAAAGUGAAGAGCUUACCGAUGUGAACUCUGAAUCAGAUAGCCCUGGCUUUGAGCACCAGCACUGCUUUUUAAUAGCUUUGUGACUAUGGGUGAAAGAAAUUACCUGUCUGAGCCUCAUUAGCCUUAUUUGUAAAAUAUAAAUAAAAUCUAUUUUUUCCCCCAUAAAUUUGUUGUGAGGGAUAAAUGAGGUAAUCAAAGUGCUUAGCAUAUACCUAGCAUGUGAUAAGGAGUCAGUAAAGGACAGCCAUUAUUAUCAUUAACUUUAGUAUGCAAAUUGGUUUAAUUUCUUUGCUGUAACACUGUAAUGUCUACUCAUGUAUAGAAAUCAUAUAUGACACUUAACUGUAUUCAUAUUUCAUUUUACAUGCUAUUCAAAUGUUUGGUUAAUAUAUAUAUAUAUAUAUAUUUGCAACAGCAAGCUUAUCAGAGGUCUUAAUCCACAAAGUUGUCAUCACCUCUAAUCCAGUGUCUAAUACCAUUUCUCAGAAGAGCAAACAUUUCCUUUAGAGCACUUAUAGCAGUGAGUUAAAUGUGAAGGCUCUGGGUUGGUGCUCAGUCAUUUGAAAGCAAGAAAAACUUACAACCUUUUUAUAAUAUGUGUUUAAAUGUUUAUUCGGUUCUGUCAAGGUAACUCAAAACUGUCUACAGUAAAUCCUACGUGUAAAAUCACAGAAAGGGGAAAUGGUAAUUAAGCCUUCAUGUUGGGAUGUAGAUUACUUACCUACUCAGGGAUGUGUUCUUUAUGGUUGCUGUUUUGAUAGGUGGGGAAGCACACUCAAUCUCAGUGGCCUCCUCUAUUGUGACUUUGAAGAUGAGGCAGUU
RNAcentral lists this long non-coding RNA (2176 nucleotides) under Homo sapiens (human). RNAcentral describes it as "lung cancer associated transcript 1". Lineage: Eukaryota; Metazoa; Chordata; Mammalia; Primates; Hominidae. The record is from RNAcentral.